GACGAACGCUGGCGGCGUGCUUAACACAUGCAAGUCGAACGGAAAGGCCCUGCUUUUGUGGGGUGCUCGAGUGGCGAACGGGUGAGUAACACGUGAGUAACCUGCCCUUGACUUUGGGAUAACUUCAGGAAACUGGGGCUAAUACCGGAUAGGAGCUCCUGCUGCAUGGUGGGGGUUGGAAAGUUUCGGCGGUUGGGGAUGGACUCGCGGCUUAUCAGCUUGUUGGUGGGGUAGUGGCUUACCAAGGCUUUGACGGGUAGCCGGCCUGAGAGGGUGACCGGCCACAAUGGGACUGAGAUACGGACCAGACUCCUACGGGAGGCAGCAGGGGGGAAUAUUGCAGAAUGGGCGGAAGCCUGAUGCAGCAACGCCGCGUGCGGGAUGACGGGCUUCGGGUUGUAAACCGCUUUCGCCUGUGACGAAGCGUGAGUGACGGUAAUGGGUAAAGAAGCACCGGCUAACUACGUG
This 468-nucleotide ribosomal RNA is filed under the name uncultured bacterium. Its description in RNAcentral is "partial 16S ribosomal RNA". It matches the Rfam family "Bacterial small subunit ribosomal RNA", at positions 28 to 507 of the family's 1533-position model. The record is from RNAcentral.